UCAUGGAGAUUACCUCUUCGCCCCUCAGGAGAACGAGACCAAGAGUGCGGCGGUCCUCGCGUUCUUCAUUCUUCUUCGCACCUUUCGCCGGUGGAAGCUUACGAAACUCUUCAAAGCCUCCGAUUACAAGGUUCAUGUGGCGGUCGAAGGCCAUGAACUUGCCGACUAGCUGGCGGCCGUCUUGGAUCGUGACANGAAGGCCAUGAACUUGCCGACUAGCUGGCGCCCGUCUUGGAUCGUGACACUCAUACGGUAAUUGAUGAACUGGAGCAUCUUGGAACCUUUAGACAUCGACAUUUUUGUAGAUCGGUUAGGGUAUCACAGUCACAGGUUACGGGAAU
This 341-nucleotide long non-coding RNA is filed under the name Lactuca sativa (garden lettuce). RNAcentral's name for it is "long non-coding RNA (LSAT_LNC007873)". The record is from RNAcentral. Lineage: Eukaryota; Viridiplantae; Streptophyta; Magnoliopsida; Asterales; Asteraceae.